RNAcentral lists this ribosomal RNA (501 nucleotides) under uncultured bacterium. RNAcentral's name for it is "partial 16S ribosomal RNA". It matches the Rfam family "Bacterial small subunit ribosomal RNA", at positions 30 to 523 of the family's 1533-position model. The record is from RNAcentral.
AUUGAACGCUGGCGGCAGGCUUAACACAUGCAAGUCGAGCGGAGAGAGGUAGCUUGCUACUGAUCUUAGCGGCGGACGGGUGAGUAAUGCUUAGGAAUCUGCCUAUUAGUGGGGGACAACAUUUCGAAAGGAAUGCUAAUACCGCAUACGUCCUACGGGAGAAAGCAGGGGAUCUUCGGACCUUGCGCUAAUAGAUGAGCCUAAGUCGGAUUAGCUAGUUGGUGGGGUAAAGGCCUACCAAGGCGACGAUCUGUAGCGGGUCUGAGAGGAUGAGCCGACACCCUGGGACUGAGACACGGCCCAUACUCCUACGGGAGGCAGCAGUGGGGAAUAUUGGACAAUGGGCGGAAGCCUGAUGCAGCCAUGCCGCGUGUGUGAAGAAGGCCUUAUGGUUGUAAAGCACUUUAAGCGAGGAGGAGGCUACUUUAGUUAAUACCUAGAGAUAGUGGACGUUACUCGCAGAAUAAGCACCGGCUAACUCUGUGCCAGCAGCCGCCGCAG